AUUGAACGCUGGCGGCGUGCCUUACACAUGCAAGUCGAACGGUAACAGGUCUUCGGAUGCUGACGAGUGGCGAACGGGUGAGUAAUACAUCGGAACGUGCCCAGACGUGGGGGAUAACGAGGCGAAAGCUUUGCUAAUACCGCAUACGAUCUAAGGAUGAAAGCAGGGGACCGCAAGGCCUUGCGCGUUUGGAGCGGCCGAUGGCAGAUUAGGUAGUUGGUGGGAUAAAAGCUUACCAAGCCGACGAUCUGUAGCUGGUCUGAGAGGACGACCAGCCACACUGGGACUGAGACACGGCCCAGACUCCUACGGGAGGCAGCAGUGGGGAAUUUUGGACAAUGGGCGAAAGCCUGAUCCAGCAAUGCCGCGUGCAGGAUGAAGGCCUUCGGGUUGUAAACUGCUUUUGUACGGAACGAAAAGGCUCUGGCUAAUACCUGGGGCACAUGACGGUACCGUAAGAAUAAGCACCGGCUAACUACGUG
Molecule: ribosomal RNA, 482 nt
Filed under: uncultured bacterium
Lineage: Bacteria
Description: partial 16S ribosomal RNA
Rfam family: Bacterial small subunit ribosomal RNA
Source: RNAcentral